GAUGAACGCUGGCGGCGUGCCUAAUACAUGCAAGUCGAACGAACAGGCGCGGUGCUUGCUGCUCUGACGUUAGCGGCGGACGAGUGAGUAACAAGACGAUAACCUCCCUAUCAGACUUGCAUAACUUCGGCAAACAGGAGCUAAUAACGGGUAAUAUAUUGAACCUCAUGCUUGAUUAGUGUAAGAAGGAUUUGCUUUCACUGAUGGAUGGAUCCGCGGCGCAUUAGCUUGUUGGUGAGGUAAUGGCCUACCAAGGCAGCGAUGCGUAGCCGACCUGAGAGGGUGGUCGGCCACACUGGAACGGAGACGCCGUCCAGACUCCUACGGGAGGCAGCAGUAGUGAAGCUUACGCAAUGGGCGAAGGCCGGACGGUGCAACGCCGCGGGAGGGAUGAAGGUCUUCUGAGCGUAGAGCUCUGCUAUCAGGGAUGAACAAAUGUGUAAGUAUCUAUGCGCGUCUUGACGGUACCUGGUCAGAAAGCCACGGCUAACUACGUG
RNAcentral lists this ribosomal RNA (497 nucleotides) under uncultured bacterium. RNAcentral describes it as "partial 16S ribosomal RNA". It matches the Rfam family "Bacterial small subunit ribosomal RNA", at positions 28 to 507 of the family's 1533-position model. The record is from RNAcentral.